Molecule: long non-coding RNA, 3328 nt
Organism: Camelus dromedarius (Arabian camel)
Lineage: Eukaryota; Metazoa; Chordata; Mammalia; Artiodactyla; Camelidae
Exons: 3
Source: RefSeq, a predicted model, not a curated record
AGAAAUAUGUUCCACUGUGAAGGAAAAGCCGGGCUGGGCCUACUUGUAAAUCUAAGUGUAACAAGUGUCGGAUUACUGAUCUGAGUUCUGCUGGGCUAACUGGUAAAUCUAAGUUAAUAAGUGUCGGUUAGCUGAUUCCCUGCUCAUUUUCUUUUUUUGCUAGCCAGUUAGAUUUUCAGAGAGACAUAUCUGGCCUUGGAAUGUUAGUUUGCUGCCUCCCUGCCUCCUCUUUUGUGAUCAUGAUGCUGCUAAAGCUGUUCCACGCCUAUUGGCUGAAAACCCCAAGCUUGUACUUUACCCUAUAAAACCUCAUGCGCACGUCUUGGAGGUGCUCAGAGCUUCGGAGCAGAAGCCCCUCUGAGCCUGCUGGCGUAAUACAUCUGAGUACUCCAACCCUCCGAGUGGUGCUUGUUUCUUGCUGGCCUCUCAUUUCCGUAACAUUUCUGGAGGCCCCAGCGAGAUUCAACCACGCCGGCCCCUUGAGCCACUGGACUGGUGGCUCCAGCCGACUAGGGGACCGGACUUCAGCAGGGAACGAGGUGGUGCCGCCUGACGAUAAUUCCGGGUUCUCCUUCGUGACGGUGACUCGGCCCCCUGUGUGGCUGGGCUACAACCAGAGCCAGACUCGGUGGAGGGAAGGACAGACUCACCAGGUGGCCGUCCGGACAAGCUCUGCUGUUUGGGCCCUGUGUCCUGAACUUCCUGACCUGCUUUGCCAGUGAGCGGAUAGAGGCUAUGAAACUCCAGAUGUUAGCCUCCAAUUAUGAGCCCCUGCAACAGGACACAAUUGGAAACAGUGAUUAUAUUACCAAGGCUUUGAUGGGAACGUCCUACUUGAGUACAUGCAAAGAAUCACAUAUGACCAGACCGCUUUAAGGAACUAAGACUGACUUAAUGGAACCAAUAAAGCCCCUUGGAAAAACAGCCUGAUACCUUACUUACACGGUUCCCAGCAGCCUUACCAGGUGAGAAAGGAAGGUCACUUCCUGGCAGGGACAGGAACCUCAGAACAGUCUAAGGACCCUAAAAAGAGAGGAAUUAGCCCAAAUCUAUAAGUGCAGCAAGCAAAGUCUGAUGGUAAGUCCUUGACUUGACUUCCUAGCCUUGAGAGGCUUUUAAAAAUCCAGUUUGAGCUUUCUCAUUAAAAAAUCCAACAAACAGAUUAAAAGAUUAUAUACGAUUAAUCACUAUGUUUGCUACCCUUAUGCAAAUAAUCAAGCCAUGUUUUUUGAAACUAGACUUAACUUGCAAACAAAUUCACCUCACUGUGGUUAUCUGUGAUGGAAAUGUGGUGACUGUAGAGAGAAAAGUUGUGUUUCAGUAGACACCAUAAUACAUACAUGUGGAUAUUAGAUUCUAGUUCUGUGAAUUGACUUUGAGAUUUUGUUUUCUACCUGUAAACAACCUGUACCUGGACUAGAUCUUGAACUUGUCCAGUUUCCUCCAAUAUUUGGCUAUUGUCCACACUAACACUUCCUAUUUUCCCCCCUCACCCUUCUGCCUUGGAAAAAUUGAAAACUAAAACUGCCCUUUUCCUCAAAGCCAUGGAAACUAAAGUUGGACAAUUUGAUACAAAAUCCACAACAGCUCAUGCAUGGACAAUCUGCACGCCUGUUGCUGCAGGGUCACUCAGAAAAAGCACCAGAGACAUUCAAACUACAAACCAAGAAAACCCGUCAGAUUGCCAUGGCCUGCCUCCACUCCAUCCGAAGAUUCUCUGAGCCCAACAUCUAGAAAUCUUCCAACUGGCUGCCUUCAGACCUCAGAAACCGGGACUGUCAUCUGCUCCAGUCAUUAAUGCAUUGUUUUCCCUUUGUUUCCAUAGAAAUGCCUUAUUAAAUACCUAAUUUCUCAUGCAAUAUAGGCCUAACUUGGGGAGACCGGCUGCAUCACCACCUCCUAAAAAUGAGACACAACUGUUCAACUGCAAUGACCUAUUUUCAAGACUAUGAGAUUAAUUCAAUGAAAUCAUGAAACAAUCAGCCAGCUCUGCUUUUCAUGUGUGAAACUUCCAGGGAAUUUUCGGAGCAGGGGGCUGAUGGCGUUCGGGGCAGGCUGCCCCAGGGCGUGCCACUUGGGCAUGUAGAUUAUUUCACGCUGAAGACAGUCAAUGCCCAAUGGGCCCAACAGGGGCUUUUCAUCUCUCCCUUAACUGCCUAAAAGAAUUCAGAUCGGGGGCCUGGUCCAGGAAGAGAACUAUCCCCAGAAAGAGCUACAAAGAGUAUGGUCUACGUGUGGUAAACUGUGGGGGAGCUCGCCAGGGUCUGUUUGUUCAAACUCCUCUCUGUACCCCGUUGUCUUUGCAUGGCCUGGCGACCAUUUGUCUACCAAACGCUUGCUCCUUCCAUUUUCCUGUGACUUGUCUUCCUUCCCUUUUGAAGCCCCAGAUGCCCACCCGCUUCUCCUUAGGUCCGGAUGGCACAUAGACCUCAACUGCCUGACUGUCUUUGAGCCUCUCAUGUCUGCAUGAGGCUCCUGUACACACAAAAUCAAAUUUGUUUUUCUCCUGUUGAUCUGUCUUAUGUUGAUUUAAUUAUUGGACUAGCCAAAAGAACCUCGAACGGUAGAGGACAUUUUUUGCCCCCCCUCUACUCUUAUGAAUUGAAACCGACAUUUAUCAUAUGACCCAGCAAUUACAGUCCUGGGUAUUUACCCAAGAGAAAAGAAAGCACACAUGUAUACGAAGACCCGGACACAAAUGGUCACAGAAGCUUUAUUUAUUGUAACUAAAUAUGGGAAGCAACCCAAAUGUUCAUCAAUAGGCAAAUGGAUCAGCAUAUUGUGGCACAGCCAGACCACGGAAUACUGCUUGACAAUAAAUGGAAUGAAUUUCUGAAGCACACAAAAAUGUGGCCAAACCUCAGAAUAUUCUGCUGAGCAAAAAAAGCCAGACACACACACAAAAAAUAGAACAUUCCGUAUGAUUCCACUUAUAUAAAAGUCUAGGAAAUGCAGACUAAUCUACACUGACAGAAAACAGGUCAAUGGGUGUCUGGGGAUGGGGGUGGGGUGGGGUAGGAAGGAAGAAUUACAAGGGGGCACAGGAAACUUUUGGGGUGCCGAUGUGUUCACUAUCUUGCUUGUGGUGGUGGCUUCGCAGAGGUACACACAUGUCAAAACUCACCAGAUUGUGCACUUUCAAGUACGUACAGUUUAUUGUAUGUUAAUUAUGUCUCAAUAGAGCUGUAAGUUAAAAAAAACCCAAAACUCAAACUGUAGACUUGAAAAGUUGAACCAUGUACUUUAUUAAGAGGAUGAGUUGAAUUGUGCAGAAUUGUAUGAUUAUUAGGUAAAUUAUUCCUCAAUAAAUCUGACUUGAAAAAAAUAA